UGGAUGCCAUCCGAAUUUGACUGUAGCCCGCCAAGGGAUCCAUAAAACUUAAAAAUUGAUGUCUCGAAGUCACAUCCACUAGUUGAUCGAUUUUUGAUAAAGAGAAACUGUCCUUUGGACAAGCUUCAUUUAGAUUGGUGUAUUCGAUGCAGAUUUAUCAUUUUUCAUUGGCCUUUUUCACCAUUACUACGUUAGCGAGCCAAUCU
Molecule: long non-coding RNA, 206 nt
Filed under: Elaeis guineensis (African oil palm)
Lineage: Eukaryota; Viridiplantae; Streptophyta; Magnoliopsida; Arecales; Arecaceae
Description: long non-coding RNA (EGUI_LNC003526)
Source: RNAcentral